GACGAACGCUGGCGGCGUGCUUAACACAUGCAAGUCGAACGGAAAGGCCCUGCUUGCAGGGUACUCGAGUGGCGAACGGGUGAGUAACACGUGGGUGAUCUGCCCUGCACUUCGGGAUAAGCCUGGGAAACUGGGUCUAAUACCGGAUAGGAGCCAUUUUUAGUGUGAUGGUUGGAAAGUUUUUUUCGGUGUAGGAUGAGCUCGCGGCCUAUCAGCUUGUUGGUGGGGUAAUGGCCUACCAAGGCGGCGACGGGUAGCCGGCCUGAGAGGGUGGACGGCCACAUUGGGACUGAGAUACGGCCCAGACUCCUACGGGAGGCAGCAGUGGGGAAUAUUGCACAAUGGGCGCAAGCCUGAUGCAGCGACGCCGCGUGGGGGAUGGCGGCCUUCGGGUUGUAAACUCCUUUCGCUAGGGACGAAGCUUUUUGUGACGGUACCUAGAUAAGAAGCACCGGCUAACUACGU
RNAcentral lists this ribosomal RNA (465 nucleotides) under uncultured bacterium. Its description in RNAcentral is "partial 16S ribosomal RNA". It matches the Rfam family "Bacterial small subunit ribosomal RNA", at positions 28 to 506 of the family's 1533-position model. The record is from RNAcentral.